RNAcentral lists this ribosomal RNA (424 nucleotides) under uncultured bacterium. RNAcentral's name for it is "bacterial SSU rRNA". It matches the Rfam family "Bacterial small subunit ribosomal RNA", at positions 355 to 776 of the family's 1533-position model. The record is from RNAcentral.
UGAGGAAUAUUGGUCAAUGGGCGGGAGCCUGAACCAGCCAAGUCGCGUGAGGGAAGACGGUCCUAUGGAUUGUAAACCUCUUUUGUCGGGGAGCAACAACGUCUCGUGAGACGAAAGCUGAGAGUACCCGAAGAAAAAGCAUCGGCUAACUCCGUGCCAGCAGCCGCGGUAAUACGGAGGAUGCGAGCGUUAUCCGGAUUUAUUGGGUUUAAAGGGUGCGUAGGCGGACUGGAAAGUCAGCGGUAAAAUUGAGAGGCUCAACCUCUUCCCGCCGUUGAAACUGUCGGUCUUGAGUGGGCGAGAAGUAUGCGGAAUGCGUGGUGUAGCGGUGAAAUGCAUAGAUAUCACGCAGAACUCCGAUUGCGAAGGCAGCAUACCGGCGCCCGACUGACGCUGAGGCACGAAAGCGUGGGUAUCGAACAGG